GGCUCAGGACGAACGCUGGCGGCAUGCCUAACACAUGCAAGUCGAACGGAGUUAUUUGGUGCUUGCACCGAAUAAACUAGUGGCGGACGGGUGAGUAACGCGUGAGUAACCUGCCUCUCAGAGUGGAAUAACGUUCCGAAAGGAACGCUAAUACCGCAUAAAGUAAUUAGUUCGCAUGGACAAAUUACCAAAGAUUUAUCGCUGAGAGAUGGACUCGCGUCUGAUUAGCUAGUUGGUAGGGUAACGGCCUACCAAGGCGACGAUCAGUAGCCGAACUGAGAGGUUGAUCGGCCACAUUGGGACUGAGACACGGCUCAGACUCCUACGGGAGGCAGCAGUGGGGGAUAUUGCGCAAUGGGGGAAACCCUGACGCAGCAAUGCCGCGUGAAGGAAGAAGGUCUUCGGAUCGUAAACUUUUGUCUUCAGGGACGAUAAUGACGGUACCUGAGGAGGAAGCCACGGCUAACUACGUGCCAGCAGCCGC
Molecule: ribosomal RNA, 484 nt
Filed under: uncultured bacterium
Lineage: Bacteria
Description: bacterial SSU rRNA
Rfam family: Bacterial small subunit ribosomal RNA
Source: RNAcentral